CUUGGUUGUUUUCUGAGACAGA
RNAcentral lists this microRNA (22 nucleotides) under Mus musculus (house mouse). RNAcentral's name for it is "mmu-miR-5615-5p". The record is from miRBase by way of RNAcentral. Lineage: Eukaryota; Metazoa; Chordata; Mammalia; Rodentia; Muridae.